GCACCCGCGGCUCAGCGGCUAGCGCGUUUGUUUCCAAAUUUCCAGUCGUGGGUUCGAACCCCACCGAGGUCA
Caenorhabditis brenneri is the source of this 72-nucleotide non-coding RNA. Lineage: Eukaryota; Metazoa; Nematoda; Chromadorea; Rhabditida; Rhabditidae. The record is from the annotation of a GenBank genome assembly.